AUUGAACGCUGGCGGCAUGCUUUACACAUGCAAGUCGAACGGCAGCACGGGGGCAACCCUGGUGGCGAGUGGCGAACGGGUGAGUAACAUAUCGGAACAUGUCCGCAAGUGGGGGAUAACGUAGCGAAAGUUACGCUAAUACCGCAUAUUCCCUGAGGGGGAAAGGAGGGGAUCGCAAGACCUUUCGCUUACGGAGUGGCAGAUAUGAGGUUAGCUAGUUGGUGGGGUAAAGGCCUACCAAGGCGACGAUCUGUAGCGGGUCUGAAGAGGAUGAGCCGCCACACUGGGACUGAGACACGGCCCAGACUCCUACGGGAGGCAGCAGUGGGGAAUUUUGGACAAUGGGGGAAACCCUGAUCCAGCCAUGCCGCGUGAGUGAAGAAGGCCUUCGGGUUGUAAAGCUCUUUCGGACAGAAAGAAAUCGUACUUACUAAUACUAAGUAUGGAUGACGGUACUGUAAGAAGAAGCACCGGCUAACUACGUGCCAGCCGCCGCCGUAA
Molecule: ribosomal RNA, 501 nt
Filed under: uncultured bacterium
Lineage: Bacteria
Description: partial 16S ribosomal RNA
Rfam family: Bacterial small subunit ribosomal RNA
Source: RNAcentral